CCCAGACAGCCAGGAUGUUGGCUUAGAAGCAGCCAUCAUUUAAAGAAAGCGUAAUAGCUCACUGGUCGAGUCGGCCUGCGCGGAAGAUGUAACGGGGCUAAACCAUGCACCGAAGCUGCGGCAGCGACGCUGUGCGUUGUUGGGUAGGGGAGCGUUCUGUAAGCCUGUGAAGGUGUGUCGUGAGGCAUGCUGGAGGUAUCAGAAGUGCGAAUGCUGACAUAAGUAACGAUAAAGCGGGUGAAAAGCCCGCUCGCCGGAAGACCAAGGGUUCCUGUCCAACGUUAAUCGGGGCAGGGUGAGUCGACCCCUAAGGCGAGGCCGAAAGGCGUAGUCGAUGGGAAACGGGUUAAUAUUCCCGUACUUGGUGUUACUGCGAAGGGGGGACGGAGAAGGCUAUGUUGGCCGGGCGACGGUUGUCCCGGUUUAAGCGUGUAGGCUGGUUUUCCAGGCAAAUCCGGAAAAUCAAGGCUGAGGCGUGAUGACGAGGCACUACGGUGCUGAAGCAACAAAUGCCCUGCUUCCAGGAAAAGCCUCUAAGCAUCAGGUAACAUCAAAUCGUACCCCAAACCGACACAGGUGGUCAGGUAGAGAAUACCAAGGCGCUUGA
RNAcentral lists this ribosomal RNA (607 nucleotides) under Salmonella enterica subsp. enterica serovar Senftenberg. RNAcentral describes it as "partial 23S ribosomal RNA". It matches the Rfam family "Bacterial large subunit ribosomal RNA", at positions 1084 to 1693 of the family's 2925-position model. Lineage: Bacteria; Pseudomonadati; Pseudomonadota; Gammaproteobacteria; Enterobacterales; Enterobacteriaceae. The record is from RNAcentral. RNAcentral also lists the same sequence under 2 other names.